RNAcentral lists this transfer RNA (441 nucleotides) under Carnobacterium mobile. Its description in RNAcentral is "large 16S-23S ribosomal RNA intergenic spacer". The stretch from base 104 to 177 matches the Rfam family "tRNA". Lineage: Bacteria; Bacillati; Bacillota; Bacilli; Lactobacillales; Carnobacteriaceae. The record is from RNAcentral.
CUAAGGAUUUUAACGGAACCUACACAGUCGUUCUUUCUUUGUUCAGUUUUGAGAGGUCUAAUCUUCUCAAAUCAAUAAAUACCUUUGAAGUGCCUAAUAUGUUGGGCCUAUAGCUCAGCUGGUUAGAGCGCACGCCUGAUAAGCGUGAGGUCGAUGGUUCGAGUCCAUUUAGGCCCACUCAUUUAAUUGCACAAAAAAGGAAAUUAUUUUAUUGGGGCCUUAGCUCAGCUGGGAGAGCGCCUGCCUUGCACGCAGGAGGUCAGCAGUUCGAUCCCGCUAGGCUCCAUUGCGAAGUUAUUCGCAAUUUUUUGUUCUUUGAAAACUGGAUAUUGUUUAAUUGUAAAAAUUGUAAGAAACCGAGAAACACACCGCGUUUGUAAGAGUUUGAAACGAAUCCUUAUCUUUUAUAAGAUGAGAAGAUUCCUAUUAACAACAACCAUA